GACGAAGGAUGCAAGCGUUAUCCGGAUUCAUUGGGUUUAAAGGGUGCGUAGGCGGGCCUAUAAGUCAGUGGGGAAAGCCCUCAGCUUAACUGAGGAACUGCCAUUGAUACUGUAGGUCUUGAGUACAGAUGAUGUUGGCGGAAUAUGACAUGUAGCGGUGAAAUGCAUAGAUAUGUCAUAGAACACCGAUUGCGAAGGCAGCUGACAAAACUGUAACUGACGCUGAGGCACGAAAGUGUGGGGAUCAAACAGG
RNAcentral lists this ribosomal RNA (253 nucleotides) under uncultured bacterium. RNAcentral describes it as "partial 16S ribosomal RNA". It matches the Rfam family "Bacterial small subunit ribosomal RNA", at positions 524 to 776 of the family's 1533-position model. The record is from RNAcentral.